CCCAUUAGCCCUCCAAAACCAAAGCCGCGCACGGAGCCAUGGUCGCCCUACCAUUAUCGCAAACACAGAGAAAGAAAAGAGCACCGUCGCCGUUGUAGCCAAUCCCGCUCAUCCACCGUCGCUUCAACCUCGGCAUGGUGCAUCGCCCGUGGGUACAGCACCCAUCCAUGGUCUCGCCGUGCUUGGAUGGCAUGAAGCGUGACCGGAAUUUCUCGUCAGGGCAAGGAAAUCACCGCCGAUGCCGUGGACAGAGGCUUUGUGCCAUGGAUAGUCAUUGAGAGGACCUCCCAGAUGUUCGUCGGGCCGAGUAGAAGCUUUGGGUAACACCAAUUUGGCGGGUAUUGCUUCGGGGCUAAGCUGAUUGCUCAUCGAAAGCACACCGCUGCCUCCGAUCGACACCCUAGCGUGGCCAGUACCUUCCCUAUCGUCACCAUUGGUGAGUUUCCCCUCCACAUGGUCACCAACUCACCAUCAUCCCCACUCUGUGUAGCUUCUAUUGGAUAGGCAAAUGACUCUCAUGUGCGCAAACGGGUGUGGCUCCGGCGAGCCCGCCACCACCUUCGCUUGGACCUUCGCUUGGAUCAUGAACAUCGAUCCGGAAUCGUGGGGCUUUCAUUGUAUACCGAUUUGAUGAGGGCUGCGACUAAUCCGGGCCGCCGGAUCAUGAUCAGGUGGCUGGGCAACAAACAGAUCCUUUUCGGCUAGCCUAUUUCACAUACGAGCCCCUGUGCUUUGGUGAAUUAAACCCGUGGUCUAGCCUUAGUCCAAAAUUAAUUGCGCAGAGGUCCUUUUCUUCGCAAAUUCAACCCUGAGCUUUUAUCUAAUAGUGGUCGCGGUCCAAACACCUUUGGUUAUGGAUAAAAUUAAUUCGAAAAUAAUUUUUAAUGCAAAAGUAAUUCCAAAAUCUUAGAAAAAGCAUAACUAAUUCUUUUUAGCUCCGAUUCAAUCCGUUCCAAUUGCAUUAGAUUCAUUAUAAUAUUGUCCAAACAGUAUAGUACUAAUUUACAUCAUAUUCUCCACUUUUAUAAUUGGAUAAUAAUUUAACCUAUGUUUAAAUAGAUUAAUCAUUUUUUAUUAAAAACUAAGUAUGAUUUUUUAACUUGGUUUUGAUUCAAUAGUAACUUAGAUUAUGGUGGAACUAUUUUCUAAUAAAUAUCUCCCCAUGGGAAUCACAUUAAUUAACAAAGAAUAUGUAUAUUACCACUAUUUAGCCUCACAAAACUUGGGAAAUCAUAUAUUUAUAACCGUAACUCCGAAUUUAGUGGUUCUCGAACCAGCGAUCUCGUUACAACGCGUAGAAUAUUAAUAUGUAGUUUGUGCUUAUGUUUGGUCUGAUGUUAAUUUUGCCUAUAUCAUGUUUGUUUGUAUUGCUACGAAUAGCAGUGAGGUCACGAGAAUUUGAAGAUCAUCCUGGUACCUAGAAUCUCGAGUCCCAGGCAAGUUAUGCCCUUGAUCACUCCUUUUUAGCUAAUAAUGUCUGCUGUUAAUCACUGUUACAUGCUCAAGUUAAUUUGAUGGGACCUAAUAGGUUUCCCUAGCAUUGUUUAUUCCCCACCUUGCAAACAGAUGACCUAUUGGGUAGAUUUGCUAUUGCUCUAUCUGGUUUUGGGAAACUAAUGUUUUAUUAUGAUCAUGUUCCAAUUAUGUUGUUUAAUUAUUGUUCAUGAUAAGAUCAUAUUGUUAAUUGGAACAUGGAGCGACCACUCGGUAAAACAGUGUUACCACAAGGAUGGUAUGGGACUGUAACACCCUGAAUUUGGGGGUAUAAAUUUUUUUUCUAAUAUCCACCAAAUUCAGGUGUUACCCUCUUACUUUCCUUCUUUUCUACUCUUUUUCUAAAUAGUGGAGAGUCAUUUUGUUUCAUAUAUGUGUAAGCCUAGUAAGAAUAGAACCCUAAAAGAGUCCUUGAUUAUUGCAUAACAUGCCGAGACAUUUUAUUGUAUGGUCAAUUGUUGUGGUGGUGCAUCCAUUCAAACUCAUGAAGUACAUUUGAAUUUUGGAUUCAAAAGCUAUAUCUAAAUUUGAAUACAAAUAGGUAAAAGAAUGUGGGAAGAAAAUAGAAACAAAAAGGCCCAGCUCGCCCCUUUUCUUUUUUCCCCGCGAGCCGACCCACCAGAUCCACUUCCUUUCCCGCGACCCAGCUCGCACUCUCCUCUGCUCGCGCUAGCCAGCCCAGGCACAGCCGUGGCCCAUCUCCUCUUAUCGGCCCAGCCCCUCACCUCGGCCUGCUCCGCGUUCCCCCUAGCCCUCCCACGUCCAGGCGCAACCACCUGCGUUGCUGGCCAGCCUGGCAGCCACAUGGCCGGCCCCAUGCAGCCACGUCCUACGCAUGUAGUCUCUAUUUUUUCCUUCUCCAAACCGCCAAGGUCGAGGCGUCAAGCUGCACGCACCCACGAUGUAUGCUUUCGUCUCCCUCGCGCUCGGAUCCACGGAGCGUUUUGACGGUUCGGCCGCCGGCCGGUGAGCCACCAUCGUGCUCGCCCUCGUGGCGCUCGGCCUCGUCGUGCCUGCUGCGAUCGUGCAGCAGCAGCCAGCAGGCAAGCCAGAGCCGCCGCUGCGGAGCCUGCGCUCGGAGCUCCGCCUGCACCAAGCUCAUCCCGCCGUCGCCGAUCAUCGUGAGCAGGCGAGUAUUUCCUUCUCCCUCCCUCCACCCGACGCCCAACCGCCUCCUUGGUCCCUGCCCACUCGGCCAAGCGGCAAGGUCGGCCAGAGGCCAUGGUGAGGGUGAGGCCCCGACGCAGCGGCCAGGGCAGAGCCCCCUGCGCGUCGGACCUAGUGUGCCUAGCCAGCCCAGCCCCCUUGCCGGUGAGCCGCCGGCAGCCGGCUCGGCCCCUACCCCCGCAUGUCUAUGGCGUGGCAUGAACCUCCGACCUCUCCAUCCUUGCGUGCGUACUGUAGUACGGGAAGAAGAAGCUAGCCUCAUGUGAUCCUAAACUUGGACCUUCUAUGGCUGCGUUUCGUGUGACCAUAGGUGUGGCUAGCCUAUAGCGAAUAAUAAUUAGCCACGUCACUUAAAAUUCGUGAAGUACUAAAUAUUUAAUAUAUGUUGCGUUAUAAAUCUGGUUCCCUUCGUUCAACUUACAUUAGCUUCGUAAUAAUUUCACCACUGAGUCAAUAAAGUUAUUUUAUCGUGACGUGUGUUUUAUCUAAUUAAUUAAUUGUUUGUUUGUUUAUCCAAUGCCUAUUAAAGUAGUGAUCCAAUUAAAACUAAUAUAUAGUUUUAAAUUUGCACAAGUAUAAUUGGACGUUAGCAUGAUUUAUGCCAAAUUAAAUGUCUAUAUUAAUUGGUUUAAUAUAUGUUCAUUCUAAACACGACAUUUGUUAAUGACUUCUUGCUUGUCGCAUUGUUCGCGCAUGUCGUGCGUCGAUGUUUGCUCAUCACACGUGUUGUUUGCGCGUCAUCGCGUUGAUUCGCGUGUGUCGCGCGAUGUCGUGCGCGUUGUUUCGCGAACCGCGGUGCUGUUUCACGUGCGUCAUCGCGUGUCGUUCGCGUUGUCGCGCGCCUUUUGCACGCGUUGUCGCGCGUGUUGGCGUGUCAUUCGCGUGCUGUUGCGCGUCAUCAUCAUUUCUUCGCGUGUUCGUGCCACGCGUCUGGUUCGCGUGUCGCGCGUAUCUCGCGUGUCGAUCACGUGUAUCGUGCGGCAUCUGCGCGUGAUAAUAAAUUGUUUUCAUUUAUAAACACUCAUGUUAAUAAUGUUAUUUCAUCAGGUCACAUAUUUUAAAUAAUUAACUUAAGGUUUGCUCGACUAAUAUUUAUUAGAUUAACAUUCCAAUUAGAUUAAAUGUGUAGUAUUCAACUUCCGCUUUUAUAAGAAACAUUAACAUGGCUAAUAUUAACUUAACUACUUUUUAUUUAUUUAGUAUUUGUUUAGUAUAAACGCGUCACGUAUUUAGUUUUUCUCGUCUGUCGUACGUGAUGUUUCGCACGUGGUGCCAUGCUGGUUCGCGCUGGCCGCGUGCACUAUUUCGUGUAUCAUCAGUGUGCUAUGUCGCGCGUGUCCGUGCUUCGGUUGCACGCUAUCAUGCUGUUUCGCGUGUCGCUCGUUGCUUGCACGUGUCGUGCGCUGUCCGCACGCGAUAUUAAACCAUUCGAAUAUAAUCACUGAUGUCCAUUAAUUAACUAUUUAUUUAAUCGUCCACUAUUAAAAUAGUAAGUUAGUCAAAGCUAAGUAGUAGUUUUAAUUUAUAUUUGAUAUGAUAAUGUCAAUUCAUGUAAUUAUAAUUAUGCUGAACUAAUAUUCUAUUUAAUAUUUGUUUAGCGUAAACCUGUUAACUUCUCGACCAUAGCUCCGACUAUCGCGUUUCUUUUUCCUCGCGUGACCGUAGUAGUGCGCUCUUUUUCGUUUUACAUGUUUUAUUAUAUUUUUCUUUGAAUGGUGUAAUGUUCAUAUAUAUAUAUAUUUGUUUUCUUGUGACUGUUCGUCUUCGCUUCGCGUUGCGAUUAGAUCGCGAUUCGUUUCCGAGCUUCGAGGAAUCGACGGUCAAGCGUUGGCGACCAAGUGAUCUGGUUCUUCGAGUUCUACGAGACUGAAUAUCCUGAGCAUCUGUUUGGUGAAGGAAAGUGUCCUCUGACCUAUUAUGUCCUACAUACUUAUAAUUCACCGUCCUGCAUUACAUUACUGAAACCUAAGGAUGGACUAGUCUGUAUUUACUUAUCCUUGCUUACCUUUUGGGUAAUCUUGGUUAGCUUUAUGCUAUUAUUUUAUUUUAAUCAAUGAACAUGAUGUGAAUAUUUAUGAUACGAUGAUGUUAUCCCGAUUAUGUUCUUGUGAUACUUUAGGGUACUCGGGCCAUUUUCCUGAGUACCUCUCAGUAAGGACCUGUUUGUGGAGCGACACCCGGGAUAACAGUGCAACCAUGAGAGUGGAAUAGGACACCCUUAGCUGAUUAAUUAGAGCAACCAGAGGAGUAGUUGGCUUCGCCAUAGGGCCGUCAAUGGGGUCCGGGCGCGUACAAUACUUGCUCUGCCGAGGCUGGUUGCAGAGGUUCUUGAUUUGGUUUUGUUAGCCACCCUUCUUUUGGGGAGAGGUACUGUGUUUAUCAAACUGGAGAAACCUAACGGGUGGCUAUGUCCUCUGGGAAAUCUUUGUAAAGGCUACGUAGUGAGACCCUGCUAAGUCACCUUGGUAGUGAUCAAUGGAGAGUCAUGAUCUCCGGGCAGAACGGGAAUCACGACUUGUGGGUAAAGUGUGUGACCUCUGCAGAGGAUUAGAAAUUGAUAUAUCAGUCGUGCUCACGUUUAUGAGCGGCCUUGGGAUCCUCUUUGAUUAGAGAUACAGAUUACCUGAGAUACAACGAUUCUAUUGAUGGUUUUGGUUACGAUGAUGAUAUGAUGUUCCUCGAUGAGGAAAUGAUUCACGUGUUGGUUAUUGCUAAAAUUUGGCUUCCACUAAUAAUAAAUACCUGACCAAUUAAAAGCAACUACUUGAGCUUAACCCACAUAAAGCUAGUCCACCUCAGCCAAACGGGACAUUUGCUGAGUACGUUGAUGUGUACUCACCCUUGCUUUGACAAAACACCAAGUUGCCUUUGGUGCAAUCUAUGCUUAGGUAAAGAAGAAGGCGUCGAGGCAGAUCUCCAGGAGUUCCAGGACAUCGAUGAGUUCGAGGAUUAGGCUAGCGACCUCCCCAGUCAGCUGCCUCUAGCGGGUUAAUUUAUGUUGGCUAUGUUUCGAUUCUAUGUACUUUGAUUUAUAUUAUUACUUAUUAUUUAUUGUUAUUCGAAGCAUUGUGCUAUGAUGAUUCAUUUAUGUAAUCGUUGUGUACGUGAGUUUCUGAUCCUAGCACGUACAUGGUUCGCAUUUGGUUUACCUUCCAAAACCGGCUGUGCAGGGACGCCCUUGGUUGACUAAUUAGGAAAUCUAGUGGAGGACUACCUUACUCGAAAGGGGCAAGGGCAGUAGGGGAGUGGUCGGUAUAGGGACGUUCUUGGGCUGAUUUUGUUGCGAUGGCUUUUCGGACGGGGGAUUCCUAUGUUGCGCUUCCUAGAAACUGUAGCAGGUUUUCUGAAGCUAGUGGAACUUUGUAAAGGCCUCGUAGUGGUACCCUUCCUCGCUUCCUUGGUAGAGGUGUAUGGGGUCUGAUCAACUCCAUGGCAAAUGGGUAACACGACUUGUGGGUAAAGAUGUGCAACCUCUAUAGAGUGUAAAACUGGUAUAUCAGCCAUGCUCAUGGUCACGAGUGGCUCGGACCCUCACAUGAUUAACUUAUGGAAUUAAACUCAAUUUGUCAUAUGCAUUGCAUCGCGGGUGUUGUUAUUAAUAUUGAUCUCUUAUUUAAUUGGGUUGGUAUCUACUUAUACCUAGUAACUGUUAAUAAAUUUUUGACCAACGUUAAAAGCAAUGCUCAGCUUAAACCAUCCUCUUUGGUAAGCCUUACACUUCAUAUGAGCUCCCACCUUUGGUGAGUUCAGGCACAUUAUUUCCCACAACUUGUUGAACGAUGAACAUUGUGAGCUCACCAUUGUUGUACUCACAUCCCCCCAGGUCAAGAAAAGGUACCCCAGGAUGAGGAGCAUGGAGGAUGGCUCGAUGUGUUCGUGAGAGGUCUAGGUCUUCGUCUCCCUGUCAACUUUGGGUUGUUGGAUCAUUGUCUUCAUAUGAUGUAAUUAUUUAAUUAUUUUGUACAGAACUUUGUUAUAUAAAUGAUGUGACAUUCAUUUCUGUACCAUGAGUCAUCAUAUGUGUGAGACUUGAUCAUAGCACACUUGGUGAUUAUUCCACGCCCGGGUCUUGGUGCCCCCGAAACCCGGGUGUAACAAGGACCUAGGAGUAGGAUUCGUAUUUCAC
Molecule: long non-coding RNA, 6787 nt
Filed under: Zea mays
Lineage: Eukaryota; Viridiplantae; Streptophyta; Magnoliopsida; Poales; Poaceae
Description: long non-coding RNA (ZMAY_LNC003768)
Source: RNAcentral